Molecule: non-coding RNA, 781 nt
Organism: Oncorhynchus mykiss (rainbow trout)
Lineage: Eukaryota; Metazoa; Chordata; Actinopteri; Salmoniformes; Salmonidae
Source: the annotation of a RefSeq genome assembly
CUCCCAUAGCAAGGGUCAACAAACCAGAGGUAGAAAAUGCUGACUCAUUUCCAUCUCUUAGUACUACAAGCUGGCGAGCUCUAUAGGAUAGAAUAUAAUCUGUAAAGAGCUGAUGGUCUCAUCAUGGACUGUAGGGGGACCUCUAACUUUAAUAAUGUGAAUGUCUCUACAGUCUGAACCACUAAUUAGCAUGAUGUAUUCAGAUCAUCAGUCCCUCCCACUUCACUGACAUGUUGAAUAUGGUGGAACCUGCCGUGGUCUACUGAUUGUCAUCUAUUCAUCUAUGUGACACUCCUCUUGUUUUAUAUACAUUGAUACCAGACUCUUUCCAGCACUCUCACAUAUAACGUGAUCAAACAUGUUCACAUUUCUCUUCACUGUUACUGUCUCACUGCUCUGUGCUGCAGGUUUUGUUGAGGGGAGUGGAGUCACUCAGAUACCCACCAUACUCUGGAAACUGAAAGACAGUGAUGCUCAGAUUAACUGCAGUCACACUAAGGGAGCUACCUACUACCAGAUGUACUGGUACAGACAGCUUCCAGGAGAGGGAAUGAAGCAGGUAGUCUUCAUUACUCCCAGUUCUCAACCUGACUAUUCAGGGGAAUUCAGUAAAGACAAAUUCUCAGCCAGCAAGGCUGUAGCUGAGAGUGGAUCUUUCACAGUGAAGAAGUUGGAGACAGGAGACAGUGGAAUGUACUUCUGUGCUGUGAGUGAACACAGUGAUACAGACAACAAGUACAGCUGCACAAAAACCCCAGUAUUUCAACAGGAUGUAAUAUAA